RNAcentral lists this ribosomal RNA (409 nucleotides) under uncultured Gammaproteobacteria bacterium. RNAcentral's name for it is "bacterial SSU rRNA". It matches the Rfam family "Bacterial small subunit ribosomal RNA", at positions 9 to 416 of the family's 1533-position model. Lineage: Bacteria; Pseudomonadati; Pseudomonadota; Gammaproteobacteria. The record is from RNAcentral.
GAGUUUGAUCAUGGCUCAGAUUGAACGCUGGCGGCACGCCUAACACAUGCAAGUCGAGCGGUAACAUGAUGUGUAGCAAUACACAUUGAUGACGAGCGGCGGACGGGUGAGGAAUACGUAGGAACCUGCCCUCAAGCGGGGGACAACCAAGGGAAACUUUGGCUAAUACCGCAUAUACUCGAAAGAGGAAAGCUGCCCGCAAGGGUGGCACUUGAGGAGGGGCCUGCGUCCGAUUAGCUAGUUGGUGAGGUAAGAGCUCACCAAGGCGAUGAUCGGUAACUGGUCUGAGAGGACGACCAGUCACACUGGGACUGAGACACGGCCCAGACUCCUACGGGAGGCAGCAGUGGGGAAUAUUGGACAAUGGGGGCAACCCUGAUCCAGCGAUGCCGCGUGAGUGAAGAAGGCC